Desulfobacteraceae bacterium 4484_190.3 is the source of this 100-nucleotide non-coding RNA. The record is from Rfam. NCBI's taxonomy places the organism in Bacteria, Pseudomonadati, Thermodesulfobacteriota, Desulfobacteria, Desulfobacterales, Desulfobacteraceae.
CUUUCUGAUUCAAAACUACCCGAUGCCCAAGCCGGGUGGGAAAAGGCGCUUACAGUCGUCUUGGCAGCUAUGGGCGGUUCCAAUUAUGUCCACCAUUCCG